GUGCUACUGAGCUGAUUACAGUCAAUUAUAUACCACUGGCUCAGUUCAGCAGGAACAG
This 58-nucleotide microRNA precursor is filed under the name Eptatretus burgeri (inshore hagfish). Its description in RNAcentral is "Ebu-Mir-24-P5_pre stem-loop". Lineage: Eukaryota; Metazoa; Chordata; Myxini; Myxiniformes; Myxinidae. The record is from RNAcentral.